Molecule: non-coding RNA, 263 nt
Organism: Struthio camelus australis
Lineage: Eukaryota; Metazoa; Chordata; Aves; Struthioniformes; Struthionidae
Source: Ensembl
GGUCUAUGAUGAAUAGUAAAAGGUCUGAUUAUCCCAGGACUUGCACUCCCAUGACCUUGGCUCCCAGCAGUCUCUCACCAGUCAUGGCACAGUAAUGGUGUGACUGGCAGAGUACUUGCUGACAGCUCGUGAUGUGUUCAGUUCACGUUAACCUGAAGUACUGGAGACGUGACUGUAAUCUGCAUCCAACAGUCCUACUUGAAGGAGUUCACGGUCUUGGGCUGUUAUAUCUGGACGUGUGAUCUGACUUUUCUGCUGAGACC